Molecule: long non-coding RNA, 1999 nt
Organism: Scatophagus argus
Lineage: Eukaryota; Metazoa; Chordata; Actinopteri; Scatophagidae
Exons: 3
Source: RefSeq, a predicted model, not a curated record
UCACUACAGCUGUAAGCCAGUGAGAGAGCGGAGAGCCUUUGGACUGGAGCUGAAUGUGCGCAUCAGUGAUCCAAGUGGUGUCAGUGGGACACCCUCCCACAUAUAACGCAGGCCUGGAAACCUUUUUGAGACUUGGAGGAAUGGACCUGCAGAACCUGGGGCGUUUCACAGCAUCUGACUGCAUCGUCACACAGAACAGAUGCUGGAAGAGCAAUGAAGGUGCAGCCAAGGCAGCGAGCCAUUUGAGAUCUUAGUCAUGACUCCUGGUCAGAGCAGAGAGACCACUUAAGAGACUACUGAGCAGAUGGAUUCCUACUGGACCACUUCUGCACUGUGUUAACAAGAAGAGGCUUUCACCAGUCUGGCUUGAGAGACGAAUCAGUCAGGGAAGAUGUUCAUCUCCAAAAACUACAUGCACAAAUCUGAUGACAGGGAGUCCGUGCAUGUGGCCUCAGUGGAGGGUCUGAUGCAGGAACUGGUUUGGAGGGGUUUGUUGUUAAGUUGGCUGAAUGGGUGUGGUUCAGUCAAGGUAAAACAGUCAGAAGGCUCAACAACAUAGGGUGGUCUUCAGAGGUGCCUUGUCCUGGUGGAUUUCAGGGGACUGUGCUCUAAAGAGAGUAGAAGAAGAGACAUAAAAAGGAACUGCUUGUUUCCCUGUUUUAAUGUACUGUAAUGUCAGUAAUGUGCUGACCACAUAUCUUAGAUUUCCAUUUAAAAUGUAGUUAUUAUUUCAUGUUUGUGUUUACGAAAUUUUCUUAAAAUAUUAUUUUGUUAAAUUUUCUUCUUAUAAAAUAAUUUAUUAUCAAAGAAUUUAUCACUAAUGCAGUUCACAUGGAAAAAAAUUGAAUGUGUUGCAUGGCUCUCUCUUGCAUGGUAUGCCUUAAUUUUGUGCUGCUGGUCCUGAAACUGUACAGUAAAAAGCACCAGUGGCUAGUGGACACUAGUGGACAGUGUUGGUCUGGAGCUCUGCUAUACUGCUGCCAAAUACAGGGCUAAUGCAUGUAGAAAACAUCAAAAACAGUAUGACUAAGCAUGUGCUACAAGUUGAUCUUUCCUUACUUCCUGUCUCAGCUGUGUCCCACUCUGUUUUAUCCUUUUUCUGCUAUGUGUGUGAUAAAUAUUUUAAACUGUGGAUAUCCCCCGCUACCCCCAGAGUUUACAACUAAUUAUAAACACCAGAACAGAUGGGAUGCAAUUCUUCUACGGAAUUUGCAGCUCGGCCAAAGUAAUGUGGCCACAUCUUGUUCCACUGUUGAUCUUGAGUUAGUUUGAUUAGUGGCUAAGUCUGAUAGUAAUCAACUUUAUUUUUUUCAUAUAAUUCUGAGAUAUAGAAUAUGUUUCAUUUCUAUUUCUCUGUAUCACUUUAUUGUAACAUGAAACCAGAACGAAGAAGCUAAGAGUGGAAUUUUUCUUUUCCCAGCAAUCUUAGAGGAAAAGCAAUACUUGUUUUCCAUGGUGAUUGAACUCAAUAAACGAACUUGAGAGUUAUUUCACAAACAAUACAUGUUCAGCCCAAACAGUGGUCUGAUUGAAGGUUUGACUUUUCAGUGAUAAGACUCAGUAAAAGUUCAACACAGUGCUUGCUCCUGUUGUUUUCUUCUCAGGUUUUAGAUUUGUCAAAUGUGCUUUUCUCAAUCCCAUUGCCGUCUCCUUUUCUUAUGUGCAUACAGCGUUUGUGUGUUUCACUAGUUAUGGCAGAACAGCAUAUAGUUGUGCAGCAGUGAUCAGCUUUUUGACAGAUGGCAUGUCCUCACUUCUAAACUGGCUGAUAUUGGCCGGUGGCUGCGACUGGACAGUCAUCGUAAACUUGCCAUAUGUUACAAUAUGCUGCACAGAUUGAGGCAAGGGCCAAAUGUGUUUAAGGGCAUAGAGGGGCAAGAUGAAACAUUCAUAAAGGGAUUGAGCAUAUGUUCAUAUCAUACCACCUUCAUUUUAUUUCAGGAACUCAAAAGAGCCUACUGGAGAGCCUGCUCUGCCAUAGACAACCAGUUGUUUUUCU